UAUCUUCGGGGCAGGGUGAAAUUCCCGACCGGCGGUGAUAAGUAUUGAAUACUUUAAGCCCGCGAGCCUAAAAGUGGAGUGCAAUUAGCAUGAAGCGUUUGUAUUGGGCAGGAUUUGGUGAGAAUCCAAAGCCGACAGUAAAGUCUGGAUGGGAGAAGAUG
RNAcentral lists this non-coding RNA (161 nucleotides) under uncultured Cytobacillus sp. RNAcentral's name for it is "FMN riboswitch (RFN element)". It matches the Rfam family "FMN riboswitch aptamer (RFN element)". Rfam says of the family: The RFN element is a highly conserved domain that is found frequently in the 5'-untranslated regions of prokaryotic mRNAs that encode for flavin mononucleotide (FMN) biosynthesis and transport proteins. This element is a metabolite-dependent riboswitch that directly binds FMN in the absence of proteins. The record is from RNAcentral. Lineage: Bacteria; Bacillati; Bacillota; Bacilli; Caryophanales; Bacillaceae.